RNAcentral lists this ribosomal RNA (444 nucleotides) under uncultured bacterium. Its description in RNAcentral is "partial 16S ribosomal RNA". It matches the Rfam family "Bacterial small subunit ribosomal RNA", at positions 354 to 796 of the family's 1533-position model. The record is from RNAcentral.
GUGAGGAAUAUUGCGCAAUGGAGGCAACUCUGACGCAGCCAUGCCGCGUGCAGGAAGAAGGCGCUACGCGUUGUAAACUGCUUUUAACCGGGAAGAAACCCCAGGACGUGUCCUGGGUUGACGGUACCGGAGGAAUAAGCACCGGCUAACUUCGUGCCAGCAGCCGCGGUAAUACGAAGGGUGCAAGCGUUAUCCGGAUUCAUUGGGUUUAAAGGGUGCGUAGGCGGAGCGUUAAGUCAGUGGUGAAAUCCUGCAGCUUAACUGUAGACUUGCCAUUGAUACUGGCGCUCUUGAGUGCGCUUGAAGUGGGCGGAAUGUGCCGUGUAGCGGUGAAAUGCUUAGAUAUGGCACAGAACACCAAUUGCGAAGGCAGCUCACUAAGGCGAUACUGACGCUGAGGCACGAAAGCGUGGGGAUCGAACAGGAUUAGAUACCUGGUAGUCC